GGCUUGAUAGCUCAGUCGGUAGAGCACUGCACCACUAUCGCAGAGAUCAUGGGUUUGAAUCCCGUUCAGGCCU
Molecule: transfer RNA, 73 nt
Filed under: Orbicella faveolata
Lineage: Eukaryota; Metazoa; Cnidaria; Anthozoa; Scleractinia; Merulinidae
Description: tRNA-Ser
Rfam family: tRNA
About the family: Transfer RNA (tRNA) molecules are approximately 80 nucleotides in length. Their secondary structure includes four short double-helical elements and three loops (D, anti-codon, and T loops).
Source: RNAcentral